AUUCGUUUCACGCCCUCAACCCUAACUCAAAUCUCAACGACAACCCGACAUAUAUAUAUAUAUAUAUAUAUAUAUAUAUACAUACAUAUAUAUAUUUUAUACAUACAUACAUAUAUCAAUUUUUAUACACACAAUUAUACAUAUUCAUUUUCAUUUAAUAUUUUCAUUUAAUAAUUUAAUAAACCUUCGGCCCGCAAAGGCAAAUAAAUUCACGCAUAACAUUUCUCUUCAGCGGCAUUGUUCUAGGAUUGUAUUUGUUGAAAGAAGGAUAGCAUUAAGCGCUGGAAU
RNAcentral lists this unclassified non-coding RNA (288 nucleotides) under Bombus terrestris (buff-tailed bumblebee). RNAcentral's name for it is "misc RNA ENSBTSG00005029703.1". The record is from RNAcentral. Lineage: Eukaryota; Metazoa; Arthropoda; Insecta; Hymenoptera; Apidae.